AUUGAACGCUGGCGGCAUGCCUUACACAUGCAAGUCGAACGGUAACGGGCCUUCGGGUGCCGACGAGUGGCGAACGGGUGAGUAAUACAUCGGAACGUGCCCGAUCGUGGGGGAUAACGAGGCGAAAGCUUUGCUAAUACCGCAUACGAUCUACGGAUGAAAGCAGGGGACCGCAAGGCCUUGCGCGGACGGAGCGGCCGAUGGCAGAUUAGGUAGUUGGUGGGAUAAAAGCUUACCAAGCCGACGAUCUGUAGCUGGUCUGAGAGGAUGAUCAGCCACACUGGACUGAGACACGGCCCAGACUCCUACGGGAGGCAGCAGUGGGGAAUUUUGGACAAUGGGCGCAAGCCUGAUCCAGCCAUGCCGCGUGCAGGAUGAAGGCCUUCGGGUUGUAAACUGCUUUUGUACGGAACGAAAAGCCUUCUUUUAAUACAGGAGGGUCAUGACGGUACCGUAAGAAUAAGCACCGGCUAACUACGUG
RNAcentral lists this ribosomal RNA (481 nucleotides) under uncultured bacterium. Its description in RNAcentral is "partial 16S ribosomal RNA". It matches the Rfam family "Bacterial small subunit ribosomal RNA", at positions 30 to 507 of the family's 1533-position model. The record is from RNAcentral.